This is a long non-coding RNA of Callithrix jacchus (white-tufted-ear marmoset), 1886 nucleotides long. RefSeq lists it as uncharacterized. The record is from RefSeq and is a predicted model, not a curated record. NCBI's taxonomy places the organism in Eukaryota, Metazoa, Chordata, Mammalia, Primates, Cebidae.
CCCGGCCCGCGCCCCGCCCGGCCCGGGCUCCGCGUCCGCGCGGCCGCCUCACCACAGCUUCCUCUUGAGCGGCAGGAGGCUGCCGCGGUUGGAGGGGGUGACGCCGAUGGCCAUCUGCAGCACCGUCAGAAACAUUCAGAAUAAUGUCUGACCCCCCCGUGUAGAUCUGAAAAACAAGGAAUGAAGAGGAAAGAAAGUGGUGGAGAUCAGGACAAGACAAGCUUCCUGCUCUCAUCGCCUCGAUUUGACAUUGUGAUGGUGGUCCCAGCCAAUCAGACGCCGAGGUAGACUUUGCUUUGCUUUCCUCUGUGACAUCUUCCUCCUACCACAUCAGAGAAAGCCCUGAGGCCAAGCAGGUCCAGCAGGUGCAUGGAAGGACUCCCUUCCUCUCCACGGUAAGAGAUGGUUUAAGCUACAAGGAAUACCUGGAUAUUCCAAUAGCAGCUGAAAGAAUCCACCCAAUCCACAAAGCACGGAUUUCGAGCCUAGCCUCUUGCCAAAGACAGAAUGUAUCUGCUGCUGGCCUCAGGCAAUACACCCCUUGACUUGACUCUGAGAUGAAAGAGGCUGGAAGGAAAUGUGGCAUGAGGACAAAAGGCACGGGUUGAAUAUUUGUAAACGACUCUCUCCAUUACCACUGUUUUAUAGUCUUGAGGAGAAAACAAGAGAAAGCAACAAACAAUUACAUAAUUCAGUAGUUCAGUGGAUAAAGAGAACCAGUAAGAGCAUAGGCUCUCUCAAUUACAAAAUGAAGCAUUAACCGUGUUUCGAAUGUUAACUGUGUGUCUGACUCUGCCUGGACAGCUGGAAUGCCGGCGACUGUACGUGCAUUUAUAUUUGCCAGUUGUGUGUCUUCCUCCUUUCAACCUCACACAGGUAAUUUAUGUUGACGCUCACAAGAGAAAAUGAGUACUUAAAUGUCAGGGCAUGUGACUUGCUUUCUAGGACACACUGUAACUUGCAGAGCACUGAGUCAGCAGUCCAAUGGCUUAGUCUUCAUACUCCUGACAGCUGUUUAUUUCUUUCAGUGUAAUUUCAGAGAAUAAUAUCCAGAAGGGAUUCGCUGCCCUAGAUCUAUCAGAAAACAUAUUUAAGAUAUUAUGUAGUUUUAUAGAACAAAAAUCUAACACUAAAUAAUCACAUCAUAACAGGGUUACAAUUUCAGUAAUUUCUCUUAAAUCAGGCACAAGGGUGUUUAAAGCACACAACUAAUACUUUGUAGAGAUUUAAUGAGAUGAUGCAUAGGAACAGUAAGGGAUGAGACAUUUUUUCCAGUACUAUUUUAAAACAAUAAGAGAAUAAUAGCAUUUGAAAGAAACUUUCCAAUCUAUUUGAUUCAGGCCCCUGCUUUCUGUAUUUAAAAAGCUUAGUCAUUGGCUUCUGGCAGAUCAGAAAGAAUUCUCAAAGAUCAGGAGGCCUUGGGGUCCUAGCUAGUGAUGCAUAAAGGACCCCAGGUCAAGAAGUCUAAGCCCAUCAGGAUCAGAUUGAAAGUAGGAACCUGAGCAACAGGCCAAAUUGGGACUUAGGAGGUCCUCUAGGCAAAAUCAGUCCCUGGAAAGGAAGAUUGGAGCAGAAGCCAGUGGCUCCAGCAGGCAAGAGAAAGCAGACAGCAGUUUUCAUCUGCAAGGUAACCGACUGCUCUGAUACCAGCUCUGCCUCCCUAAAUGCUUCAGGUAUGAAGCAACUCCUAAGAAAAGAACUAAAAUUAAAACUAUCAAAAAUUAAAAGAAUCAAAAUUGCCGGGUGCGGUGGCUCAUGCCUGUCAUCCCAGCACUUUGGGAGGCCAAGGCAGGUGGAUCAUGAGGUCAAGAGAUCGAGACCAUCCUGGUCAACGUGGUGAAACCCCGUCUCUACUAAAAAUACAAAAAAUUAGCUGGGCAUGGUGG